Molecule: ribosomal RNA, 490 nt
Filed under: uncultured bacterium
Lineage: Bacteria
Description: partial 16S ribosomal RNA
Rfam family: Bacterial small subunit ribosomal RNA
Source: RNAcentral
AUUGAACGCUGGCGGCAGGCCUAACACAUGCAAGUCGAACGGUAACAGGAUGCAGCUUGCUGCUUUGCUGACGAGUUGCGGACGGGGUAGUAAUGUUGGGGAAACUGCUCGAUGGAGUGGGAUAACUACUGGAAACGGCAGCUAAUACCGCAUAACGUCGCUAGACCAUAGUGGGGGACCUUAGGGCCUCUUGCCAGCGGAUGUGCCCAGCUGGGAUUAGAUAGUAGGUGGGGUAACGGCGCACCUAGGCGACGAUCGCUCGCUGGUCUUAGAGGAUGACCAGCCACACUGGAACUGAGACACGGUCCAGACUACUACGGGAGGCAGCAGUGGGGAAUAUUGCACAAUGGGCGCGAGUAUGAUGCAGCCAUGCCGCGUGUAUGAAGAAGGCCUUCGGGUUGUAAAGUACUUUCAGCGGGGAGAAAGGGAGUACAGUUAAUACCUUUGCUAAUUGACGUUACCCGCAGAAGAAGCACCGGCUAACUACGUG